Molecule: ribosomal RNA, 311 nt
Filed under: Bacillus velezensis
Lineage: Bacteria; Bacillati; Bacillota; Bacilli; Caryophanales; Bacillaceae
Description: bacterial LSU rRNA
Rfam family: Bacterial large subunit ribosomal RNA
Source: RNAcentral
AAAGGUGAAAAGCACCCCGGAAGGGGAGUGAAAGAGAUCCUGAAACCGUGUGCCUACAAGUAGUCAGAGCCCGUUAACGGGUGAUGGCGUGCCUUUUGUAGAAUGAACCGGCGAGUUACGAUCCCGGGCAAGGUUAAGCAGAAGAUGCGGAGCCGCAGCGAAAGCGAGUCUGAAUAGGGCGAAUUGAGUACGUGGUCGUAGACCCGAAACCAGGUGAUCUACCCAUGUCCAGGGUGAAGUUCAGGUAACACUGAAUGGAGGCCCGAACCCACGCACGUUGAAAAGUGCGGGGAUGAGGUGUGGGUAGGGGU